Molecule: long non-coding RNA, 517 nt
Organism: Mytilus californianus (California mussel)
Lineage: Eukaryota; Metazoa; Mollusca; Bivalvia; Mytilida; Mytilidae
Exons: 2
Source: RefSeq, a predicted model, not a curated record
UAGUAGGCUUGGUUAUUGGUGCUUUAUUACUAGCAUGCAUUGUAGUUUUGAUAAUUGUUCUUGUGAGAAGGCGUUUAUUCGUAAGUGGGCCAAAAGAGAAGAUAAGAAAUAAACUCCAGGAAAACGACUAUAUUGGGAGUCAAGUUAUAGCUUUACAACUAAGCGCUUAUCAAUCCAGCCAUAUGCAAAAUGAUGGCAAAAGUAGCAAUACUAGUGUUCACGGUUAUGAGAGUGAACCUGUGAUUGCUAAGAUCCACAAUGUAGAUAAAGAAAGAGUCCAGACACCUGAAUAUGCAGUCCAUCGUAACACAACAUUAUCAGAUAAUCGUACUAUAAAUGACGAGGAUUAUUCGAUCGUCGAUCAGACAGCUGAAACACGUUUUAAUGGGACUAUAGACGACGGAACUGGAACAAGAGAAAGUUAUAUGGUAUUCAAUCCAUCCGAAAAGGGUUUCAAUAGAACAAUAUUGUCUAAAACUCCUACAGGUUAUGAGUUUGCAAAGCCUGUUACGGAUAC